CCUGCUUUUGUGGGGUGCUCGAGUGGCGAACGGGUGAGUAACACGUGAGUAACCUGCCCUUGACUUUGGGAUAACUUCAGGAAACUGGGGCUAAUACCGGAUAGGAGCUCCUGCUGCAUGGUGGGGGUUGGAAAGUUUCGGCGGUUGGGGAUGGACUCGCGGCUUAUCAGCUUGUUGGUGGGGUAGUGGCUUACCAAGGCUUUGACGGGUAGCCGGCCUGAGAGGGUGACCGGCCACAUUGGGACUGAGAUACGGCCCAGACUCCUACGGGAGGCAGCAGUGGGGAAUAUUGCACAAUGGGCGGAAGCCUGAUGCAGCAACGCCGCGUGCGGGAUGACGGCCUUCGGGUUGUAAACCGCUUUCGCCUGUGACGAAGCGUGAGUGACGGUAAUGGGUAAAGAAGCACCGGCUAACUAC
Molecule: ribosomal RNA, 417 nt
Filed under: uncultured Propionibacterium sp.
Lineage: Bacteria; Bacillati; Actinomycetota; Actinomycetes; Propionibacteriales; Propionibacteriaceae
Description: bacterial SSU rRNA
Rfam family: Bacterial small subunit ribosomal RNA
Source: RNAcentral